This 250-nucleotide ribosomal RNA is filed under the name uncultured bacterium. Its description in RNAcentral is "partial 16S ribosomal RNA". It matches the Rfam family "Bacterial small subunit ribosomal RNA", at positions 85 to 334 of the family's 1533-position model. The record is from RNAcentral.
UUGAUGGCGACCGGCGCACGGGUGAGUAACGCGUAUGCAACUUACCUAUCAGAGGGGGAUAGCCCGGCGAAAGUCGGAUUAAUACCCCAUAAAACAGGGGUCCCGCAUGGGAAUAUUUGUUAAAGAUUCACCGCUGAUAGAUAGGCAUGCGUUCCAUUAGGCAGUUGGCGGGGUAACGGCCCACCAAACCGACGAUGGAUAGGGGUUCUGAGAGGAAGGUCCCCCACAUUGGUACUGAGACACGGACCAA